This 253-nucleotide ribosomal RNA is filed under the name uncultured bacterium. RNAcentral describes it as "partial 16S ribosomal RNA". It matches the Rfam family "Bacterial small subunit ribosomal RNA", at positions 524 to 776 of the family's 1533-position model. The record is from RNAcentral.
UACGUAGGGACCGAGCGUUGUCCGGAAUCAUUGGGCGUAAAGAGCGUGUAGGCGGCUCGGUAAGUCCGCUGUAAAAGUCCAGGGCUCAACCCUGGAAAGCCGGUGGAAACUGUCGAGCUAGAGUCCGGAAGAGGCGAGUGGAAUUCCUGGUGUAGCGGUGAAAUGCGCAGAUAUCAGGAGGAACACCAAUGGCGAAGGCAGCUCGCUGGGACGGUACUGACGCUGAGACGCGAAAGCGUGGGGAGCAAACAGG